GCCUCAUUGCAGGGGGGGAUGGAAAGUUGAAAGUAAAGAAAAAAUAAUAGAAAUCAUAUAAAAAAAAAAAUGUUUUGUGCUGGCGAAACACCUCUGUUGCUCAAACCCUAUUUCUUUUUGCUGGAGAAGUUCUAUGGGUGCUGACAGCUGACGGGCAUUUGUGCGGCAUUAAUGGCUCGGGAAGGUAACGCUCAUAUUUUGGCUCUUUGCCUUGGAAGGGAACCGAAGCAACUUUUUGUUGACACCCCACUGUGUUACACCUUCAGGGGUUUUCUCCUCUCUGCCUCGUGGUGGUUGCACCCUGUGUGCUGCUGCAGGACAAAUACAGCACGGGUACAGUCAGACACUGCCCCACGAGCAGCUCCUGAGCAAUCAGCUCUGCGGGGUUCAGGAGGUCCUUAUUUUCAGGGGGGAAGUGCUUUAAUCAAGAUUAAUUUUUUCCAGUUUUCAGUAAUCGGAGCUCUUCCUGAGUUUUCCUCAGCUCUCCUGUAGAAUGGAAUUAUCAGAUUUCCAUGGCAAUUAAAGCAGAAAGCUGCAGGCACGCGGAUUGCUCCGUACGAUGGCUGAUGGGGAACAAGUGGAUAGAGGCUGCGAGAAGGAAAGAGGAUUUUCACGGCUGCUGCAGGGCCAGCCGAGCCUUGCAACGAGCUGCAAGCUCCUGCAGCACUUCUUGCCUUUCCCUCGGUGCAAAACACCCAGCGUGCAAUGAUGGAGAGAGCAAAAGGACUGGACUUUGGUGCUGGUUGGUUCUGAAUCCAGCAGAUGCUCGCUGGUGGGUGCAUGGGUGCUGCACUAUGGGAUGAUAGAGGGGUGAUUCUGUUCUGUGCUCUGCCCUUCCUGGGUCCCAUUGCUACUUGCAAAAUCAGGAUCAGUCCCUGCAAAGCCUGCCAGUGGCUCAGGAGCUGCAGGAAACUCACCAACCAUCCACCCAUCCCACCAUACCCACAGUGCUGUGUCCCUAUGUGCCACACCUGCACCAUGCAGCAUGUGAGUCAUGGCUGCUCUUCCACUUCAACAAAGGAAGAGCCAACCAAGCCAAGGUAACACCCACGGUGAUGAGGUGAAGGGCUUAAUUACUCACUGGAUUUCACUGCCACACCAUUUCUGAGGCUGACUGCUAUGAUAUAUGUGAGGAACAUCAGACAUUGAUCACAAAAUACAAAGGGAGGAGGGAAAAGAAGUCUCCCUGUGGUUUGGAUCCUGAGCCCAGGGUUGCUCUCCACUAUGAAAGCAUGAGUUUUCAACUAGAAAAUGGCACUUCUGGCUGGGAUGCUAUUUUCUGGGCUCAGCCAGAGCCAGAAGGGGCAAUGCCACCCAACAGACCCUUGUCCCGUUGCUCUCAGGUGUUGACCCAUGUCUCCAUUCUUCAUUUGUCCCCAUCCUUGCUGAAGGAAAGCACGUCCCACGGAGGGCACUGGGCUUCUCCCCCAUGCUGCAGCCCAGCCCCCACUCCACAGCCAUAUGCAGCAUAUCACCUUCUCUUCGGGGUUGGGUUACCCUGCAGUAAUUCACUUACAGUUCACAAAUGAUAAAUCCUUGCACAGUUGGCUGAGAAAUCUGGGCUAACAAGGAAUGGAAGUGAAUUAUUAAAUCCAAAUGGCGCCAUGGCCUGUCCACUCUACUCCUCAGCCACAUUAACAACACCGUGGGGCAUGAUGACCUGCUGUGUGGCAAUAGCUGCUCCCAGGUAUGCCUGGGAUAGGGCUGUAGCUCCGGGUAGGGUGCACAGAGGUAUCCACCUCUGAAUUGCACAGCUGGAGAGAAAGAUGUGAGCUGUGUCCCAGCGUGGGUGUCCUCACAGCCCGUGUCAUACCCGAGUGAGCUGCUUCCAGCAGUGACUUAAAUGCAAACAGCAGAAAGCCACUAAAUCCUGACAUUUGCCCCUUCCCAUCAGGCAUUGGCACUGGCUGAUCCCUUUGUGCUUUCCAGAAAUAGCUGGGGCUCCGUGUGCCUUUCAGCCUUGGCUUUGGGGAGAGGUGAGGACUACAGAGGGAAAUCCCAGCAGCGGGACUGGCCCUGAUCUGCUGUGAAGUGAGUUCAUCUGACCUGCUCACCCCCGUGUGCCCUGCCCUGGUUUUAUUCGUGUAUGUAUUCAUUUCAUAGCAUCACAGCAUCCCAGCAUCAUAGAAUGGUUGGGUUGGAAGGGAUCCCAAAGCCCUCCCAGCCCCAAGCCUUGCUGUGGGCUGGUUGCCCCCUAGCAGAUCAGGUUGCCCAGGGCCCCCUCAGCCUGGCCUUGGGCACAUCCAGGGAUGUAUCCUAAAUCAAUGGGACAUCCCAUCAGCCAAUGGGCCAUCCAGUCAGCGGGGCUUCCAAUCAAUGGGACUUCUUCCUUCAAAAGGACCGCAGAACAUAUGGGAAGUCAUGGGGUUUUUCCUAAGGAUGAAGUUUAUAGAAGUGACUAUUAUGGCAUUGUUUUCAAGCUUAUUAGCUGUGUCAUACUGUUAUUGCCUCCAGUCAUUUUUGGUAGAAAACAAAUAAACAGCGAGUAUUUGUCAAUCUCAGUAAUAAACUAUAGUGGCAGCAAGCUUAAUCUGGUGUUAAUUAGGCUUGUGGAAAACUAAAUCAAGCACCAGAAACCACAGAUUAUUUUAGGCUUCCUCUAGCAUAAACACGAAGGCUUGAGGAUCCAUAACGUAUUAUUUUUGUUGACAGUUCCCCACUUUUCCCCCAAUUUAUUUCAUGUAUCCGAUAGGCUGCUCCUUGAUUGCUUUUAGUUCUGUCUUCUUUUGGCCUCAGCGUGGCAGUUUGUUAAUCCUUCCUAUUUUUGUGUAUUUAAGCAGGAUUACAGACUUCAAAUACGCUGUAAAAGGAACCCGUAUACAACCCUUCAAAAUCACUUAAGUGGGCCAAUGACAGAAGUACCAGCCCUGCAAGUACAUACAGAGCACUGCGGAAAUCAUCCCCGGUGUUUAUUUAUGAGCCACUUUUAAUUAUUCAGCGGGAAUGAAUGAAAGAGGUGGAAAAUGGGAAGCGACAGAGGGCUUUGCAUUGAGUUACAGCUCGUGGAGAGCAAAGGGAGAGAUCACGGCGCUUUCAAGUCGCGAUGGUUGGAGGGUAUAAUUACACCCUGCUGCUUUAUGGGCCAAACCUCAGAGAAUUCAAUGGCAAACUGUGUUUCAGAGAGCGUGAGGAGCCCUCAGAAGGCUUCACACAGCACUGAGGAAGAGCAGAAUGCUUCACAUAGGCAGCAGCAGGCAUGGCAGAGCCCUGGGCUCAGCAAGGUCACCUGUCUGAAGGGGAGCUGCACGGACAGCAGUGCGAGUUCUGCUUGGCACGUCUGCAGGGAGCAGAUAUGGAGAAGGAGAAGUGCUGCGAUGCCACGUGGUUAGCUGAAAAGUGUUUUCUCUGCAGCUCCCACAGGAAAGGCCCAUGACUGAGAAAGAACAUGGUGUUCGUUCAUUGGGACAAGCUGAUCUUCAAGCUGAUUUGUGUUAAUUUGGAAAGUGAGAUCUUUUUUUUGUUGUUGUUGUUCCCCCUUUCUUUUUCCAGGAAAAAUGGAGCUGUCUGGUUUUGAUCACUUGGUGUGCUCAGCACCAAAGCCCUCAGAGUAAAUAUCUCCUAUGAAGGACAUUAAGGACCAACUCAUGGGGAGCAGCAGCAGGAAAACACUGCCAUAAACCCAAUACACAUCACGGUGCAUUCGUUUGUUACUUGGCACUGUAGCCGGGGCAGGGAAAACAUAGGAAGGCAUGGAGCAGAAUGGUGCCUCGGGGUGAUGAGUACAGCUGGGGCAGUGUGAUUAGCCCCAAGUGGCAGAGUCCUCCAUGCGCCCUGCAAGGCAGCUGAUGGCUCUGUGCUCCCUUUCCUGCUGGCUAUGGGAGGAAGGAGGGGAUGACCGGGCACGGUGCAAGCCAGCCUUGCUUUCCAUUCGAAUCCUAGAACCGUAGCCAAAGAAAACAAAGAAAUAGAAAAAGAAAGACGACGCACGGCAGCGUGCUGCUGCUGGAGGAAGGCCGAUAAGGCGGCAGCUGCUGCUCUUCCUCUGGGCUGCCCAGCAGAAAGCUGAAGGCAGCGCCGCCCGGCUCCUCACCCCAGCGCCGGGGAACGGCUUUAAGGAGCCGUGAUGCUCAGCGGGCUGAUAGGCAGAGCGGACGGCAGACCUUCCAGCUUCCUUCUGCCUUCCGAGCACACUCUGCCCAUUGGGCCCCGCUGUAGUGUCACCUCGGGGAUCUCUGUGGUGUUAAAGCGAACUUCUGCACAAGAGCGAGCAACUCCCGUUUGCACCCCCGCCGGUAUUUCUUCCCCAGAAGUGAACUUGCUGCUCUUCGCCGCGAGAUGGAGCCUUCAGAUCGAGCCCUUUCCCUUAGGGUUGGUGGUUGUCUAAAGCAAUUAAGCCUCAUUUAGAGAUCGCACGUGUUUAGUUUUCUCAGAUUACUAUCUGUGGGUCUUUAUUAUUUUUUUUUGUUAAUGAAUCAUAUUUUUCAUCAUCUCUCUCUCUUUUAUCUGAUACGAGGAAACUGCAAAGGCUGCCAGAAUGGGUGCUGCUCCAGCCCAGCUCUGCAGAGGAGGACAGUGAACAAUGCAGCUCUUCUUCCUGGAGAAGCAUCACUCACAGCAUCACAGAAUGGUUGGGUUGGAAGGAACCUCAAGGACCACGAAGCUCCAACACUCCUGCUGCAGGCAGGGCCACCAACCUCCACACUCCAUACCAGCCCAGGCUGCCCAGGGCCCCAUCCAACCUGGCCUUGAACACCUGCAGGGAUGGAUGGGGCAUCCACAGCCCCUCUGGCAGCUGUUCCAGCACCUCACCACUCUCAUAGUAAAGAACUUCCCCUCUGACAUCCAACCUAAAUCUUCCCUCCUUCAACGUUAAACCGUUUCCCCUUGUCCUGCUCGAUGCAUUGCUCGAUGCCACACCACAGGGACAAAGCAGCUGCAGAAAGUGUGUGUUGUGCAAAAGCUGGGGCACGAGUGGGGGCUAAAAGGGACACCUGGAUGGCAGCAUGCUGUCCUUCUCUCUGUUCACCUUCUAGCUCAAUUCUACUUCUGAAAUCUGCCCCCAUUCCAUAUCCUACUGUUCUUCCUGAAGGGCAACGGAAAAGGAUGGCUCUGCUCUUUGGCACCAGCAGAGCUGCUCCUGCCCUGCCUGCUGUGCACCCAUCUGCCACGCUCCUCCCCGGCCUCUGCCCACAGCCACGUCCCCAAAUACCCCGAGAUCUCACUUCCCUUUGGUUUCACUGCCUUUCAGCCCCGAGGGACCAAAUGUUUUGUUUUGCUCUGUGCGUUUCCACGUUCAUCUUUCAUCUUCUGUUUGAAGCUAUUGUGAAGAAGCUGCGAAAAGCAAUGUGGCCCUGGUGCUCCUCUGAUGGCACUCGGGCUCUGGAGAGGUGUCUGAAAGCUGACAGCAGAGCUCUGUGCUGCUGGGAGGAACCAACUUCUGCGUUUGGGCACCCCACUCUGUGGGGAUUGGGGCCAGGACGGGUUGGAGCAGAACCCCAAAGUCUGAAUGCAAUUCAGUGUUUGCCAGAAGGCAGGGACUGAUAAGGCCUGCUGGGCUCUCAGUGCACCUCUUUAGGCACAUAGUGACAAGGAAAAGGUUCAGCUCAGCGAGGAGCAGGCAGUGGCCACUGCUCUGCUGCCUCUGCCCUGUGUGGGCAGCCCUGCCCCGUGAAGCCCUUCCCUUCCCAGACUUAAAACCAACGCCCUCCUGAGUGCCUUCCUGUACCAGCUCCUUUCUGCUCUCUCUCUCUCUCUAUUUUCUGGGGUCACAGCAAAGAGCAGCACUGGGGCAGCACCCAUGGGACCAUAAUGUGUUUGUAGCACACGGACAGACACACGCAGAGCAUUGCUGCUGAGUUCACUGCAGGUCCUCUGGUGCUGCUGUCAAACCUUCAUUUUCAGGUGUUGGAAAUCAUUUGUUUCCCUUCAUCUGUUUUCUGUCCGCAGAUGGUGCUUCCUCUGUAGGUGAUGGACUCGAGGUGACAGUGAUGGCUCAGUGCUUCCUCAUAUAAGCAGAGCUCCAGAACCACCCUCAGCACAGUGCUGCGCAAUGGCUGCAAUGCUUCGCAGAGGAUCAGUGUGUGUAUGUAAAUGGCAGAAUGUUCUCAAGCAGCACUGGAUUUUGCAUUUUAGCAAGGAUUUCCUUCCCAACUCCUCCUUCCUCAGUGCUGCUCAGUACCUCUUUCCCACUCCUGCCCCUUGUUCUUCCCUGCCCAGCUCUUUGCCCUGCAUGGCACGUUCCAGCCCCUCCUUUCUUGCUGAUCUCUGUGAUUAAAAGGUGGUGAGCAACACGGUUAUGAAAGCAAUGAUCUGUGCUGUAUCUUCAGAGGAAUGUCCACCUGCACUGUCUGCAGGAUGGAAACCAGCAGGGAGGCUGCUCCUUACCCUUCUGGCGCAAUGAUUGAACAGAUACUGCCCUCAGUUAAUAACAAUUCCCAAUAACUCUUGAAAUGAAGCAGACACAGCUCUGCUAAUUAAGGUGAAAAAGCAGCUCAUCCAAAUAACUUUCCUCAGAAAGCACGUCCAAUGACACUUCUAUCUGUUACGCUGUGUGUAGUUAUUAUCCCCAGUAGGUUAUACAGGAUGCAAGUGGGAGAAUUUCUGAUGCUCUCAUUAAUUUUGGUGGCAACUUUCUGUACUGGGAAUCAUCAUUCACCUCCACCCAUUGGAAGCAGUUGAAUUUCAGGAAGGUGGCAGUGCACACAUGGCACAGGGUUAAAUUUGGGUUAAAGACAGCAUCAUCUCCAGGCCUCUGGCAAAUGAGGCGGAGUAAGCAGGACACAGCAGGGGAGAUCAGGUCCUUCACAAAUGGGAAUAUUCACUUGGGAAGAAGUAGGAGAAAAUAACCUAGAAAUAAGGUCACUGGUCUCCAGACAGCCCCAUGGGAAAGCCAAGUAGUGCUGAGAGUAAUUUUCCUGCUUAGUGUGGCAGGCGUGUGGGCACACAUCAUAGGGAAGUGAGAGCAAUACAGGCUUUGGACAAUACUAGAAACCCCAAGAGACCACGAAGAGCCCUUAACCCUUUGGGUAAACGGUCCCAUGUGAACACCCAGCACAUUAACUUAUUGUUGCACGAGGCUGGGAAAUGGUUUGGAUCUUAGUUUAUGUGAGCAUUACCAAAGAAUAAAACAUUGCAACAUAUCUGUCAGGAACUGUAUUUCUCUGUGCUACAAUCCUUGAAGAAGAGGAAGUAAACACACUGCUGGCUCUGCACGACUCUUCCUGUAGGGCAACUGCAUUGUCAUCCCCAGGAAAUGCAACACCAAGCCCUGAAAUGAUCUGCACUGUAAAGGGCUGCUACAAUUCUGAGAGCUGUUAAAUUGCAGAGGAACAGAGCUGUGUUUGAUUGGGCAGAACGGUCAGGUUCCUGGGAACCCUUCAUCCUCAGCUGUAUGGUGGAAGAAGAGUGGGGAGUCAGAAACAGGGCAUGGGGAACGUGGCCUCCUCCAUAUCACUGCAGCCGGGUGAGAUGAGGUUAUGGAGGAAAAGGCCAUGGUGUCACGGAGCAGAGCCACAGUUCCCCCCUGUCCCAAAGCUGUUCCCACCACUCCCCAGGGCUCUGCCUGAGCUUGAAUCUCAACACUGGUUGGGGUGUGAAUGUCCCAGUCAGACCAUAGGGAACUGUGGCUUUGUCGGUUUGUAGGUUUGGGUCUGUUGGUUGGUUUGGGUUUAUUUGUGGUGGCGUUGUCACUGUUUUGCAUUACUGAGUGCAUGAACCAGAAACUCAGAGUGUUUUACUCAGUCACCUGGGGAUUACAGCAGAUUCCAGGCUGACCAUGAGCCAAUAGCAUGCUUUUGUCUCAGACAGAGAAAACCACACGUUGGCUUACAGUAGGAUGAGGGAAACCAUUACCGCCUUCUACUCUGUGAGGCCUUUCAUUCAGCUUUGCUGCAGCUGCUGCUGGGCCAAGGACAUCAAGACACCACGUGUGGGGCCAGGAAGAAGAAAUGUGUGCAAUGGACACCUACUGUGGCUUGGGAAACCCAACUGAACAUUAGGAAUAUAAAGAUCAGUAGGGAGGUUUGGCGGUGGGUUGAGUAGUAUGGUUAGGUGGAGGUUGCAUGGUCUUGAAGGUCUCUUCCAACCUGAGCAAUUUGAUGAUCCGAUGAUAAGGCGGUGUAGUACUGGAACAGGUCACUGAGGCCAGUUGGAGACUCCCCAUCCUUAGGGAUUUUCAAGACUCAGCUGCACAAAACCCCACUGAACACUGAUGGAAGCUCUUCCUUGGGUGGGAGGUUGGACGAGACGCCCAACAGAAUUCCUCUCCACCAAACAUUUCCAUAUUUCUAUGACCUUAAAUUCAGGCAAAUGCACGUGCCCUUAGCACAAGUGUGUAAGAUUUCGAUGUAUUUCUAACUGCUUUCAGAUCCAGGGAGUUUCACACGAAAGUGCAACAGAAAAAAGUGUGCAGCUUUAAAGCAUUUCUUAAUCCCACCCCUUUAGAAUCUGAGUGCUGUUUACUCUGCUGUCUGCUGGAGAUCCAACACGUUCAAAAAUAGCAUGGCAUGGGGUCCCAUCAAAGCCUUCUAACAUCACCAGGUGUCUCCUCAGCAUGAAAACAAAUUCUUUGAAGAGAUUGCUUGGAAGAGGAAAAUAAAGUACCGCAAGUGAGCUCCUGUGCUGUGAUGUGGUAUCGGAUGUACAGAAAACAUCUGCAGUAAAACUCGUCUGCAAAAGUGAGGCAGGCAGAUUUCCCCUCUGUGUACAUGAAGAG
Long non-coding RNA from Gallus gallus (chicken), 8653 nucleotides. Lineage: Eukaryota; Metazoa; Chordata; Aves; Galliformes; Phasianidae. The record is from Ensembl.